Molecule: long non-coding RNA, 1271 nt
Organism: Trachemys scripta elegans
Lineage: Eukaryota; Metazoa; Chordata; Testudines; Emydidae
Exons: 2
Source: RefSeq, a predicted model, not a curated record
UUGAACAGUUCCAUAUUCCUAUUUAGCCCCACCCUCUUGGUGAGAGGUUUUUCUUCUAGGCAUUUAAUAGCUGGCUCAUACAUUUGCCAAAGCAUAGAGCAGGCGGCAAAGAGCUGAGAUAAUAAGGGAUUCCAGCCCCAUGCCUCAAGAUAUCUGAAGUCCUCAGCAGAACAUAUGAACAGGAAAUCAUCCAGCCACACAUUAGGGUGGAGUCCCACAGAGGAAGCAGGAUGUCGCUGUCAUAAGCAGAAUGGAUGAGUCUCUCCCCUGAUGCCGUCGCCUACAUCUGUUCGCAUUUUGUGACGCUGUCAGCACAGGAUCCCAUGGCCGAGCGUGAUCGCAGCAGCCCGGUGAGGAGCCAGGCAAACUAGCCAAACAUCGGAACAUUUAUGUUCUCAAAGGCUCUAGGGUUCAGAAAACAUCUCUUCAGCCUCCAGGAGACUCAGCAAAUCCUCCACGUCCUAAACAAAAACCACAUGCUGGUGAGCUGCUUGGGAACGGAGCAGGCUCAGUGCUUGACUUGUGCCCUGCCUCUUAUCUCAUUUCUGCAGCUGACGUUUAAAGAUAAGGAAGGAAAGUCUCACCGCUUGGAACUGAAACUUUGCCUUGCCCCAGCUGCCCCCGGCAGGGCAGCCACACAAGCCCUCCCUCGCGCAGGGUAUGGCAGUUGUUCUCCUGUGGGACUUGUUAUUUGCCUUUGUUCCAAAGCGCCGCGCCAGGGCAGGAAGUGGGGUUUAGACAGCACCAGAGGGCUGCUGGGAUGAGGGAACAGGGAGCGUUUUGUAUCAGGACAAGGACAAAGAAGUCAAGUGACACAAAAUAUCAACAUGAUUCAAGGGUGGAAGGAAGAGCUGACGAUGAGCCACUUACCGGAGAUAUAUAUGCUUAGGCUCCAUCCCGUUCUCCUGAGGGCUGGGGAGAGACAUGGCAGCUGGAGCCAGGCCCCAUAGAGAACAGCAAUGCAGGCCUGAAUUCUUUUUACAGCUCACCUGGCCGCAGGCUGGGCGUGGGGCAGUGUUGGUUUCCUGCCCUGGAGGGAUCAGUCUUUCAAAAGCUGGUGCUGCCACUUUGCUGGGUGACACAUCAUGAAACAAUUACGGGCGGUUGGAAUGGAUUCCUUCCACACAUCUGAGGAUAGGUACCGUGCCGUGCUCCUGCUUGGUCUAAAACUCUGAACUUCUGGUGUUUCCGGGUGGGAAAAAAGAACGUGACGCAUGGCCAGAAAGGGUUAAACAUCCUGUAGAAUAAAUGACUCAUAUUCAACCCUUAAA